RNAcentral lists this ribosomal RNA (261 nucleotides) under Lactiplantibacillus plantarum. RNAcentral describes it as "Lactobacillus plantarum partial 16S ribosomal RNA". It matches the Rfam family "Bacterial small subunit ribosomal RNA", at positions 37 to 270 of the family's 1533-position model. The record is from RNAcentral. Lineage: Bacteria; Bacillati; Bacillota; Bacilli; Lactobacillales; Lactobacillaceae.
AAAUGGCGGCAGACUAUACAUGCAGUCGAACGAACUCUGGUAUUGAUUGGUGCUUGCAUCAUGAUUUACAUUUGAGUGAGUGGCGAACUGGUGAGUAACACGUGGGAAACCUGCCCAGAAGCGGGGGAUAACACCUGGAAACAGAUGCUAAUACCGCAUAACAACUUGGACCGCAUGGUCCGAGUUUGAAAGAUGGCUUCGGCUAUCACUUUUGGAUGGUCCCGCGGCGUAUUAGCUAGAUGGUGGGGUAACGGCUCACCC